AUGGCAACCGGACUUUUGUGAGGAAUGCAAAUUCGAAUACAUGAUGCCUCUUGGUGCUUAGCUCAAAUAUCUGGGUUUUUAUAGCAGCAGCAUGCAGUUCGGGUCAAAAUAUAUACCAUCCCACCGUAGGGGAAACUAAUGGUUUCUUCAACAUUUUUUACUCUGAGAACUAUUGGGUUCUGAAGCGGCAACAUCCCUGGAAGGAAGGCUUGGGAAACAAAGUACUUAUUUGUCUAGUCGACUGGCCGCUGAAGCGAUAGAUGGAAGGGAGCGAUUGACAAGAAAACACUUGUUUAGAUUUUACAACACAGGCAAUAGCACCGCUUGAUAAAUUCUAGAAAAGAAAAAAGUUCUUCGUUACGCACCUGGGAGGCAUUUGGAAGCAAAUUUUGUAUAAGAGCAGAUACUAGAAAAGUCGUUGCAAAUAUGGAGAGUAUACUCUUUGCAUAAGAGGUAAAGGAGGAAAGGGGGAGGGGCGAGGGGGUGGUGUAAGAUAAAUGACAAAUAAUUUAUCAAAACAAUUCGAAUAUCAGCGGUCAACACCAGAACAAAGUGAAGCUAGAAAAGACGAAGCACCAACAGGCUAGUGAAGGGCCAAGUAAGAGAAGGGAAUAGGAACCAAGAUAUGCACGUCCGCAAUGUCUGGAGACGUGACCGCGCGAAUAAGGAUCGGGUGAAAC
RNAcentral lists this small RNA (680 nucleotides) under Histoplasma capsulatum G186AR. RNAcentral's name for it is "hypothetical RNA". Lineage: Eukaryota; Fungi; Ascomycota; Eurotiomycetes; Onygenales; Ajellomycetaceae. The record is from RNAcentral.